This 198-nucleotide ribosomal RNA is filed under the name uncultured bacterium. Its description in RNAcentral is "partial 16S ribosomal RNA". It matches the Rfam family "Bacterial small subunit ribosomal RNA", at positions 1303 to 1500 of the family's 1533-position model. The record is from RNAcentral.
GGCUGCAACUCGCCUACAUGAAGUCGGAAUUGCUAGUAAUCGCGGAUCAGCAUGCCGCGGUGAAUACGUUCCCGGGCCUUGUACACACCGCCCGUCACACCAUGGGAGUCGGUAACACCCGAAGCCUGUAGUCUAACCGCAAGGAGGACGCAGUCGAAGGUGGGAUUGAUGACUGGGGUGAAGUCGUAACAAGGUAGC